CAGGCCUCGCCUGGUAUCACUAACCACCCUAGAGUUUGCUAUCAGGCCUUUUGUCAAUUCCAACGCAUCGAGUUAUUUCCACUCCAUCCUGUAAAGGCUCAAAGCUAUUUACCAGCCUGCUCUCAUAGAUCAAAUUUGGGUUACCAAAAAUAUCAACUGCCGCCAAUGCCUUAUCUCUUGUGUUUCCAUAGCGGUUGACGACGGUAGUGGAAAAUCCAUCAACAUCGUACCCUCUUGAUGGUGCUGAAUUGGCCGCCGUCGCUCUCUUUUCCUCAACGCUGCUCCGCACAUAUUUAAGGUUGAAAAGAGAGACAUCGCUAGUUCCAAUGACGACUUUGACAAAAUCGCCAAGCCCAGCCAGGUCCAACAGCAUUCUAGAAACUGCAACGAAAAUAGGGUUUCUUUCCAAACUAUAGUAUACCUCCCCUCCCGCGCGGCGAGCUGCAUCCCCAAAGAGGACGGUAGAAUACCCUACAUAGCCUCCUAGUUCAACCAUUACCUUCGGUUUAGCUGCAGCUAUCAAGUCGGUGACGAUGGAACCUUUAGCCGAGCCGACGUUCAUGAGGUAAUUUUUCUGUCUCGCAUAUUGAUCGAUUGCGGCUAUGACAUUUGGAGGAGACCCUCGAAGCUCUUCAAAAUUAGGCAGGUUGUAUAUAUAGCGCAGCAAUUCGAUUUCUCUUCCGUCAUCUCCCUGAACCCAGUGGAUGUUAGCGAAUGCAUUAUGUUUACUUUAGGGAGUACUGACAUGGACGGCCGGUUUUGGCAAAUAUGGACGGUCGACAGCUCUCAUUUCACGAGCCGGUUGCAAACCUUUCUAAAUACCGACAGGAUGAGAUCCUCUACCUUCAAAUAAUAUCGGCGUAUAGUUUUAUACCAUGACAGAGAGCAAAAUGGGCGGGACUCACCUGUUUAUGUAGCAAAUUGUCCCUUUCAACUACCCGAUAUCGGGAUUCUCCUCGGAAUAUGCAACGUAUGCAACAUCGUAAUGGCGCCAUCCGGGACC
This 1003-nucleotide small RNA is filed under the name Histoplasma ohiense. RNAcentral's name for it is "hypothetical lncRNA". The record is from RNAcentral. Lineage: Eukaryota; Fungi; Ascomycota; Eurotiomycetes; Onygenales; Ajellomycetaceae.